ACUAACAGUCUAAUAAGUCUUAGU
RNAcentral lists this non-coding RNA (24 nucleotides) under Arabidopsis thaliana (thale cress). Lineage: Eukaryota; Viridiplantae; Streptophyta; Magnoliopsida; Brassicales; Brassicaceae. The record is from RNAcentral.